Molecule: ribosomal RNA, 478 nt
Filed under: uncultured bacterium
Lineage: Bacteria
Description: partial 16S ribosomal RNA
Rfam family: Bacterial small subunit ribosomal RNA
Source: RNAcentral
AUUGAACGCUGGCGGCGUGCUUAACACAUGCAAGUCGAACGGUAAGGCCCUUCGGGGUACACGAGUGGCGAACGGGUGAGUAACACGUGGGUGAUCUGCCCUGCACUUCGGGAUAAGCCUGGGAAACUGGGUCUAAUACCGGAUAGGACUCCUGGCUCCAAGGUUGGGGGUGGAACGCUUUUGCGGUGUGGGAUGGGCCCGCGGCCUAUCAGCUUGUUGGUGGGGUAAUGGCCUACCAAGGCGACGACGGGUAGCCGGCCUGAGAGGGUGACCAGCCACACGGGGACUGGGAUGCGACCCGUACUCCUACGUGAGGCAGCAGUGGGAAAAUUUGCACAAUGGGGGCAAGCCAGGUGCAGCGACGCCGCGUGAGGGAUGACGGCCUUCGGGUUGUAAACCUCUUUCAGCACCGACAAAGCGCAAGUGACGGUAGGUGCAGAAGAAGGACCGGCCAACUACGUGCCAGCAGCCGCCGUAA